ACGGCAUGAUGGGGACAUUUUCUUGUGAGGUCCUUCAAUCUUUCCCAUGACUCAUGGAAUUGCUCACCAUCUUGCUGUGAGAAGCUAGUGAGAGCUCUCCUUAUUU
This 106-nucleotide small nucleolar RNA is filed under the name Cephalotus follicularis. Its description in RNAcentral is "Plant small nucleolar RNA R71". It matches the Rfam family "Plant small nucleolar RNA R71". From Rfam's summary of the family: R71 is a member of the C/D box family of snoRNAs containing the C (UGAUGA) and D (CUGA) box motifs. Multiple nearly identical copies of this snoRNA have been identified in Arabidopsis, and it is thought to function as a 2'-O-ribose methylation guide for 18S ribosomal RNA. The record is from Rfam by way of RNAcentral. Lineage: Eukaryota; Viridiplantae; Streptophyta; Magnoliopsida; Oxalidales; Cephalotaceae.